GGAGAGGUACCCAAGUGGCUGAAGGGGACGGUUUGCUAAAUCGUUAGGAGGGCGCAAGCUCUCGCGAGGGUUCGAAUCCCUCUCUCUCCGCCA
Molecule: transfer RNA, 93 nt
Filed under: Candidatus Saccharimonadota bacterium
Lineage: Bacteria; Candidatus Saccharimonadota
Description: tRNA-Ser
Rfam family: tRNA
About the family: Transfer RNA (tRNA) molecules are approximately 80 nucleotides in length.
Source: RNAcentral